This 240-nucleotide unclassified non-coding RNA is filed under the name soil metagenome. RNAcentral describes it as "partial contains 5.8S ribosomal RNA, internal transcribed spacer 2, and large subunit ribosomal RNA". The record is from RNAcentral.
AACGCACGAGACCUGCGGACCUGCGGAAGGAUCAUUAUUGAUUUUUAAAGGAUGUGCUGGCCCCCCCCCCCUCCCGGGUGGAGGCAUGUGCACUCCCAAAAAAAACCAAACAUCCACCUGUGCACUUUUUCAGUAGGCAAAAAAGACUUGUCGUUUCUGCAAGUCAUUCUUGUCUAUGUUUCAUUACAAACACUUGAGUUUAUUUGAAUGCCUCACAUACAAUGACCAUAAUUUGUAAUA